RNAcentral lists this ribosomal RNA (117 nucleotides) under Pteropus alecto (black flying fox). The record is from RNAcentral. Lineage: Eukaryota; Metazoa; Chordata; Mammalia; Chiroptera; Pteropodidae.
GUCUACGGCCACGUUACCCUGAACAAGCCCGAUCCCGUCUGAUCUCGGAAGCUAAGCAGGGUCAGACCUGGCCAGUACUUGGAUGGGAGACUACCUAGAGAUCAGGUGCUGUAGGUG